Girardinichthys multiradiatus is the source of this 1297-nucleotide long non-coding RNA. RefSeq lists it as uncharacterized. The record is from RefSeq and is a predicted model, not a curated record. The transcript is spliced from 3 exons. Lineage: Eukaryota; Metazoa; Chordata; Actinopteri; Cyprinodontiformes; Goodeidae.
GCGAUCUGCUCAGAGAGGAAAGGCGUUCACCGGUUUGGUCUCUCUGUGCCUGAUGGAGGCUCCGGUGACUCCAAGAUAUCCCAGGACAUGCUCUAUGCUACAGAGAUGGAAGCAGGAACCAGUUAGUGCCAUGGACGACCCUCUGGUGUCCUAGACAGAUGGACUGUGGUGGCUCAUUGGUCAUGGUGUUUAGGGGGGACACUGCAAUGGACAGAAUAAACCAGUUGUCUAUACCAACACCAAACACCAUCUGAACUGGAUCUAUCAUCAGACGCUGAAGCUUCAAGAUGUCUGACAUUGGGACCAAAGAUGAUACGCCUGAGACGAGUUAUUUGCGUUAUAACAUUUUCUACACUUAAGCUUUUGAUGUGUUCCCUUUAAUCCUGUGUAAUGCUGAUUGGGUUAUUUUGAUUUCCUUACAUGAAAUAAAAGUAUAUAUUUCCACAGCUUCUAAAAACACAGAUCAGCCACAAUUUUAAUAUAUGCAGUAUAAAAUGUCAUGAAUUGUCUAAAAGUGUUAAGCUGUUGUCUCAAUGUUUAUCUUGACUAGUUGUGCUGUGAAAAAAGUAUGUGCCCCCUUACACUUUUGAUCUAUUUUUUUUUUUACUUUUUUUUUGUCACACUUAAAUGUUUCAAAUCACACAUAUUUUAAUGUCAAAGUUCACCUGAGUAAAAGAGAAAUUCAACUUUUGUAAUAAUUACAUCUGUCCAUAAAAGUACUUGCCUGCUGUACCGUAUAGUUGUGCAACGAUUUGCAGCAACAGCUGUGGAGUAAUUUUGGUUUUAGUUUAGCUACAUUGGAGAGUUUUCUAGGGUGAGCAGACUGUUUAAGGUCAUGCUACAGCAUUUUGAUUGGAAUUAAGUUCGUACUCAGACUUGGCCACUCCUAAAGUCUUUAUUAUUUAUUGUUUGAGCCAUUUGGAAGUGGACUUGCUGUGUGCUUUGGAUCAAGAGCUCAAGCUCAACAGCCGGACAUUACACCGUCGUCUCUUUAGUUGACAGAAUAUUCAUCAAGGGAUGUUUCUGGCAAAUAUUAAACCUUUGUGGCUUUUGUCUUUGAGGAACACUCAUGCCAUUUUUUCAAGCUUUUUCCCUUAAUAAUUAAAAUCAUCGUUUGAAAACUGCUUUUUGUUUUGACUCAGAUUGCCUGACUUUAAAAUUUGUUUAAUCUUAAACAUGUAUUUGUGACAAGAAAUGAAAUCUUGAAACUUGGCAUGUUUUGUGAAACAUCCAGCUUAUGACAUGCUCUUAUUUUGUAUUUUGGGAUGAGAUGCUACUGCGUUGGAAUAAAUGUUAC